UCACGAAGUGCCAGGCAUCUUCCUCCUCCGGUCUGUGUACUUGCCCAAUUUCUCACUUGCCGCUGCAUCAAGAGCCAUUUUGUGCUCUGCGUUUCUCUUCUGCGGGACUACAUGGUUCCAUCGGCCAUCGGUCUGGGAUAAUGCUCCUUCUCUUCCUUGGCAGAUUUAGAAGGUAAGUGCUGCCAAGUGGCUCUGCUAUGCCGGGAUUCCAGCAUCCUCACUGAAACCAGGGGACCCAUUGCAAAGGCAGCGUCAGCCUGGUCUGCGGAGGACAAGGAUCACAAAGCUAUUCUAGGAUGCUGAGGGUCAUCUCGCCAAUGUAUUGCUAAUGCCCUGGUGAAGGAAGUGUCUUCUGAGCCGUCCAGGAUGAUGGCAUGAGGGUGGGCAGGGGCGUUAGCAUACAGGUCACUUACGAUAAAUCUACUCCAACAUCCACCUCCUCUGAAACCUUCAAAUGCCCUCCUCUGCCUUAUGUGGGAAAGUUCCGCAUCUCCAUCUCAGUGAACGCAGGCCGCCAUUGAACCCAAGUUCUGCCAACCAACCAGGCAAACCAUUAGAACCACUUCUGGAUGUGAAAGACAACAUGUUACAUCCAUAAUCUCUAGGAAUGCUACUCCUUUCAAUUUAUUUGACUCAAUGCAGUUAUAUAACAAAGUAUCUUAAGGAGCUGGUUAAACAGAUAUCGAAAGAUGGAAAAGGCAAAAGGAAAACAUUGACAUAGCACAGAAACAAGAGCACAGAAAGGAGCUGCCAUUCCAAGGGCUGGGAACAAAGGACCGAGGCCAGACUGAUGAAGCGUGGAAAGCUCCGUGCCACAGGAAUCCGGCCUCUGUGGAGGGGGCUGGAGGCGGGCGUUUCUGCAGGGGGAUGUGGACAGGCCCAGAACACGAAACGGGAAGGAGCUGGUUGUUCCUCCUCCUCCAGGCUUCCAGUCUCCCUCUAGUGCUCCCUUUCGGAAAAACCUAACAGGGAGCCUGCUGCUAAAACAGAAGUACAGCUCAGAGAGCAUCACAAAGCAAGGAUAUACAGAAAAGUGGGCUUGGAGCUGAGAAACAACAGCCUAGUAAGCAGCAAGGUGCCCCUCAGACUGGCACAGAGGCAGCUGGCUCAACCUGACCUUAUUUGGGUUGCCCAGUGCCGGGAACAGGUCCAGUCUGCUCCAUACUCCUUAUGCCUCGAAUUGUUCCCGUAUCCCCUAAGAUCUAAUAUGUGUUACACCCACAGCACAUGCCACAGCCUCAGUUUCCCCCAUAGCUCAUCCCAAUUAACCCUAGAUGAAAGCCUUAUGAUUCAGAUGCUGCUGCAAGCAGGAGUCAUCGCCACCUCCACUGACCACCAGCCGCAGGGUCCCUAUUGACAUCGGACCAGAGAGAAACACCACUCCAGAAUCCUCUCCUGAAGGGUCUGCUUUCAACGGUUAUCCCUGGUGCCAGGGGUUCUCAGCUGGGUUCUCCAGAGCUUAGAGCCUGAGGCAAACCUUCCUCUGUUGCCACUUUAUCUGAGAGUACGAGCCCAGGAGGGAAGGAAAACGGGAAAGAGGCAGGGGAGCAGGGAGAGUCACCCCGAGGUAUGUUACUGAGCAUGCUUGAGCCAAUGGGAUGCUUGACUCUGCAGGAUCCUGGGAAUCUGUGAACUACUACGUUUCAGGACAGACUGGGGGAUGGUGGGAGCGAGGGAGGUACAUCAUUUUUCUGCUGGCUCCCGUGUCCCUUUGCUGUAAGAUUCCCUCUCUGUGAUUCUCUUUAAGAUUCACUUUCCUGCAAUUCUGGUUUGAAUGCACAG
RNAcentral lists this long non-coding RNA (1782 nucleotides) under Equus caballus (horse). RNAcentral describes it as "lncRNA (ENSECAG00000037104.2)". The record is from RNAcentral. Lineage: Eukaryota; Metazoa; Chordata; Mammalia; Perissodactyla; Equidae.